Molecule: ribosomal RNA, 443 nt
Filed under: uncultured bacterium
Lineage: Bacteria
Description: partial 16S ribosomal RNA
Rfam family: Bacterial small subunit ribosomal RNA
Source: RNAcentral
CCUACGGGAGGCAGCAGUGGGGAAUAUUGGGCAAUGGGCGCAAGCCUGACCCAGCAACGCCGCGUGAAGGAAGAAGGCUUUCGGUUUGUAAACUUCUUUUCUCAGGGACGAAGCAAAUGACGGUACCUGACGAAUAAGCCACUGCUAACUACAUACCAGCAGCCGCGGUAAUACGUAGGGGGCAAGCGUUAUCCGGAUUUACUGGGUGUAAAGGGCGUGUAGGCGGUACUGCAAGUCAGAGGUGAAAACCAGGGGCUCAACCUGUGGACUGCAUUUGAAACUGUAGUCCUUGAGUACUGGAGGGGCAGACGGAAUUCCUAGGGUAGCGGUGAAAUGCGUAGAUAUUAGGAGGAACACCAGUGGCGAAGGCGGUCUGCUGGACAGCAACUGACGCUGAGGCGCGAAAGCGUGGGGAGCAAACAGGAUUAGAUACCCCAGUAGUC